CACUACCUGCGGGAGCAUGAGAACCAGAGGCCAGCUCACAGCAGCUACUGGGGAACCUCUGUGACCCUAUGUCCCGCUCUAUGCUCCUCCUCUACCUGACACUAAUGUGCUCCUAGAGACGGGAGGUCACCGGCCACCUGUACCGCCCCCUGCUGCUGACAGUAUUUUGGGUGGGUUACUAUGGUGCGAGUGCCGGGCAGGAGGCACAGGACACAUGCCCACUGUCAGCGCCCGUCAUAUGCUCCGGAGACCCGGCCCUAGCUAUAGGCAACUGCCUAUGGCAUCGGGAAAUCCUAGGGGCAUCUGGGCAGGCAGAGCACAGCAUACUACUGUCAGUGUCAGCACAGCUGUGAAAGUGAAACUACAGAGGAGUCCGAUCAGGGGGCGUGGCUACACGGGUCACUGCUGCCUUCUGUGCAAUGUGGGAAACUGAGGGGAGGAAUGGCUCUGAGCUGCUGUGUGCUCCUGUAGUGAAUACUGAACAUUGUGAUAUGCUGCCAUGUAAUUGUGAUGUGUUAAGGGCCGGCCUGACUGUUACAUCGCGGAGAGUACCAUAUGUGGAGGGUGCUGCCGCUGCCUUCUCAUCUCCUCCCGAGGUGUGAUUGCACCCCUGCUGCACUGCCCCAAGAGAGAGCCUGGAUCACAGGGUGAGAAACUGGACAAAUGGCAAAACUGUAUCAUCUAACAAUGUCACAUAGUCCACCACUUUCAUGCAAUUUGACACCUAAACCAAUGGUCCAGCUCCAGCACUCAAAAUACACCCACAAAAAUUAUGCUUUCACCUCAUUUUUGCACAGCUCAUUGGAUACAGUCUGGUUGUAACGCUUCCCCAGCCCUCCACAUGACUCUGGAGCAGCCAUCAUUAGAAUAUAAGCAACAUCUUGAUUCAUCAGGCCAUAUGAUGUGUCUUCACUGUUCUAUGGUCCAGUAACAAUGCUGUUUGGCCCAUGUUAGACGCUGUUUCUUUUGGAUGGUUGUUAACCUGGGAGGCACCCGGGCUAUACAACUGAAAAUUUCUAACACUGUGCAUUUUGCACCGAAGUACUCAUUCUGAUAUGGUUUGGUUAGGUCCAGCAUUGUACUGUUGGAGCAGUUCAAGAUGCAUUUGGAACUGAUUGGUGGUUGCUAGAAACCCUAAAUGCCUGCUGUCCCGAUUUAUCAUGAUCAGCUUUCGGACACUGUUCCGCUGCUGAGAUGAUAGGGGUCCAUGCUUUUUCCACUGUAGAUGGAUACUGCUCACUGUCUUCGAGGGCACACCAUUAAAUGCUGCCACCUCCACCAAGCUAUGGCCAUGUUCUCGGCCAAAAACAUAUAAAUAUACAUGAUGAUGAUGAUGACGACACCAUUUAGCUAUGUAGCUAUUUUUGUACUGUAUUGAUGACUACUGUAUACUGAUAAAGCUGAUGUGUUAUUUCCUUUUGGAAAACGUUACAUCAGUAAAGAAGAUCUUCUAUUGUACUGUAGUUAGGAAGCAGUAAAUGACAGAUGUGAGGAAGAUGGUGGGGUGGUUUGCAUUUAAUUAUAUUUUGAAUGGAAAAUAUGACUUUCUGGAUUUAUAUUAUUAAAAUCAUGUUC
Molecule: long non-coding RNA, 1575 nt
Organism: Pseudophryne corroboree (corroboree frog)
Lineage: Eukaryota; Metazoa; Chordata; Amphibia; Anura; Myobatrachidae
Exons: 3
Source: RefSeq, a predicted model, not a curated record